CGGGAAAUCACUAAGUUGGUUAGAGUGCUGGUCCGUCACGCCAGAAGUCGCGGGUUCGAACCCCUCCCGG
This 70-nucleotide transfer RNA is filed under the name Persea americana (avocado). RNAcentral describes it as "tRNA-Asp". The record is from RNAcentral. Lineage: Eukaryota; Viridiplantae; Streptophyta; Magnoliopsida; Laurales; Lauraceae. RNAcentral also lists the same sequence under 10 other names.